UACAGAGGGUGCGAGCGUUGUUCGGAAUUACUGGGCGUAAAGCGCGCGCAGGCGGCUCUUUAAGUCUACCCGGGAAAUGCCGGAGCUCAACUCCGUGCACGCCGGGGGAUACUGGAGAGCUGGAGACGAGUAGAGGCAAGCGGAAUUCCGGGUGUAGCGGUGGAAUGCGUAGAGAUCCGGAAGAACACCGGAGGCGAAGGCGGCUUGCUGGGCUUGGUCUGACGCUGAGGCGCGAAAGCAUGGGGAGCAAACAGG
RNAcentral lists this ribosomal RNA (255 nucleotides) under uncultured bacterium. RNAcentral describes it as "partial 16S ribosomal RNA". It matches the Rfam family "Bacterial small subunit ribosomal RNA", at positions 524 to 776 of the family's 1533-position model. The record is from RNAcentral.